RNAcentral lists this ribosomal RNA (431 nucleotides) under uncultured bacterium. RNAcentral describes it as "bacterial SSU rRNA". It matches the Rfam family "Bacterial small subunit ribosomal RNA", at positions 957 to 1391 of the family's 1533-position model. The record is from RNAcentral.
GAACGCGAAGAACCUUACCCGGGCUUGAACUAAGAGUGACAGAUUUAGAGAUAGAUUUUUCUUCGGACACUCUUGGAGGUGCUGCAUGGUUGUCGUCAGCUCGUGCCGUGAGGUGUCGGCUUAAGUCCCGCAACGAGCGCAACCCUUUUCCUUACUUGCCAGCAUUUCGGAUGGGAACUUUAAGGAUACUGCCAGUGACAAACUGGAGGAAGGCGGGGACGACGUCAAGUCAUCAUGGCCCUUACGGCCAGGGCUACACACGUGCUACAAUGGUCGGUACAAAGGGUUGCUACACAGCGAUGUGAUGCUAAUCUCAAAAAGCCGAUCGUAGUCCGGAUCGCAGUCUGCAACUCGACUGCGUGAAGUCGGAAUCGCUAGUAAUCGCGGAUCAGAAUGCCGCGGUGAAUACGUUCCCGGGUCUUGUACACACC